CAUCCCCACUUGCCCAGCGGACAACAUCUCUCUCACGGACAGUCGAACUCCGGCACAUUCUGUGUCUGUGUGAGCCUCUGACGUAGAUGGUGUGUUUCUCAUCUGUGCCGUUUGCGCAUCACCCUCACACUCCCCCCUCCUUUUCCGAGAGGCUGACGCCGGACUCAAUCUGGUCGAUCGUUCUUGCAGCUCGCCCCAACACGUGCACGUCUUUGUGCGCCGCCCAUCUUGUACCUUCUUCUGUUUCUCGUUCUUUCUGCUUACCUCUCCCAGAUCUUUAAGGGUGAGAGACGACUCCUGUAGCAAUGCAUGCCACGAAAUCCGGUGUUACAACCCUCUCGGCUAGCGCCGGCAAGUCGGACGUACCGGUUAUGCCCGCGGGCUACGAGGACGCAGCUGGCCAGCCCAACGCUGUCUUCGUCAACGUGUACGACAUCAUGAAGUCCAACUCUUGGCUUUGGUCGGUCGGCCUUGGCGUGCACCACGCUGGUAUUCAGGUGUACGACAAGGAGUACCAGUACGGCCGCUGCGAGGAGGGCAGCGGCGUCCGUGUCGUCGAGCCUCGCCACUCGCCGCCGCACAUUUUCCGCGAGCAGUUCUUUGUCGGGCAGACACAGCUGAGCGCUCUAGAAGUGCGGGAGCUCGUUGCCAGGCUCGAGCAGCGUGACACGUGGCAGGGCAACAAGUAUCACCUCGUGAAGCACAACUGCAUCCACUUCGCGCACGCACUCUGCGAAGCGCUGCUGCCGCCUCACGUACGGGUGGCACAGAUGCGCACGGCGCUCCCGUCUACGUACCAGAGUGCGUACAUGGAGGAAGUCGAGGUGGAUGGCCAACAGUACUCAUUGCCGGUGCUCAUUCCUCCUCACGUGAGCCGCCUGGGCAGCUACGCUGCCUCCUACCUGCCAGAGUCCGUUCUGCAGCUGCUGGACUCUAUGGACAACCCCUUCAGCACCCCCUGAGCAUGGGCUAGAGGCGCACCGCUGGUGUCUAUGUAUGUUUGUGUGUGCCUGCAAGUCCGCGAAUUGGUGCGGCAGAGGAGUGGGUGAGGAGCGGCGCAUGUACUCGCGCAUAGUGCCCGCGGCUGCCUUUUUUUCGGGUGUAGCCCUAAGCGAAGACGCAUCCUAAGCGAGCAUGUGCCCCCCGGCCCUCACCUCACGCCCUGUCCCCACCCCUUCUUCUAGAACCUCUGCUUCAGCGUAGGUAAGCCCAUAGCAAGCCGGAAGAGCGCCGCUCGCUUGAGCGCUUCCUCCUCUUCUUCUGUCUACCUUUCUCCUUCUGUGCAUGUGAGCGUCGGCGCACGUCUCAGGGGUUUGCCCGUCCCUCUUCCCCG
RNAcentral lists this unclassified non-coding RNA (1333 nucleotides) under Leishmania donovani. Its description in RNAcentral is "gene:LdHU3.09.1610(CDS-product:PPPDE_putative_pep tidase_domain_containing_protein_putative)". Lineage: Eukaryota; Euglenozoa; Kinetoplastea; Trypanosomatida; Trypanosomatidae. The record is from RNAcentral.